UUUGGGUAUCUGUUAACUCAGGUUUAAAAGGGAACACGGGUGAGAUUCCCGGACAGUCCCGCUGCUGUAAUUCUCAGAUAUCGUUCCAGGAUGAGUGGCCGCACCCAAGGCUGCAACAAACGCCACUGACCGAACAGGUCGGGAAGGUUCCCGGAACUGCAAGAUAAGUCAGAAGACCUGCCCAAGAUUC
This 190-nucleotide non-coding RNA is filed under the name bovine gut metagenome. The record is from RNAcentral.